UCCCCUACGGGAGGCAGCAGUGGGGAAUAUUGCACAAUGGGGGAAACCCUGAUGCAGCGACGCCGCGUGAGUGAAGAAGUAUUUCGGUAUGUAAAGCUCUAUCAGCAGGAACGAGACAAGACGGUACCUGACUAAGAAGCCCCGGCUAACUACGUGCCAGCAGCCGCGGUAAUACGUAGGUGGCAAGCGUUAUCCGGAAUGACUGAGCGUAAAGGGUGCGUAGGUGGUUUAGUAAGUUGGCGGUGUAAUUCCGGGGCUCAACCUCGGCGCUACCGCCAAAACUAUUAGACUAGAGUGCAGGAGGG
Molecule: ribosomal RNA, 305 nt
Filed under: uncultured bacterium
Lineage: Bacteria
Description: bacterial SSU rRNA
Rfam family: Bacterial small subunit ribosomal RNA
Source: RNAcentral